This is a non-coding RNA of Myotis brandtii (Brandt's bat), 58 nucleotides long. Lineage: Eukaryota; Metazoa; Chordata; Mammalia; Chiroptera; Vespertilionidae. The record is from Rfam.
UGGCUCAGUGGAUAGAGCAUCAGCCUAUAGACUGAAGGGUCACUGGUUCAAUUCCAGU